RNAcentral lists this ribosomal RNA (446 nucleotides) under uncultured bacterium. Its description in RNAcentral is "bacterial SSU rRNA". It matches the Rfam family "Bacterial small subunit ribosomal RNA", at positions 331 to 794 of the family's 1533-position model. The record is from RNAcentral.
CCAGACUCCUACGGGAGGCAGCCGUGGGGACUCUUGCACAAUGGGGGACCCCAUGAUGCAGCGACGCCGCGUGCGUGACGAAGUAUUUCGGUAUGUAAAGCUCUAUCAGCAGGGCAGACAAUGACGGUACCUGACUAAGAAGCCCCGGCUAACUACGUGCCAGCAGCCGCGGUCCUACGUAGGGGGCAAGCGUUAUCCGGAUUUACUGGGGGGCACGGGAGCGGAGACGGCAGUGCAAGUCUGGAGUGAAAGGCUGGGGCUCAACCCCCGGACUGCUCGGGAAGCUGGACGGCGGGAGGGCGGGAGAGGUAAGGGGAAUUCCUAGGGGAGCGGUGAAAUGCGGAGAGAUGAGGAGGAACACCAGUGGCGAAGGCGGCGUACUGGACGGGAACUGACGGGGAGGCGCGAAAGCGGGGGUAGCAAACAGGAGGAGAUACCCGCGGAAC